CUACGGGACGCAGCAGUGGGGAAUAUUGGGCAAUGGGGGAAACCCUGACCCAGCAACGCCGCGUGAAGGAUGAAGGCUUUCGGGUUGUAAACUUCUUUGAUCGGGGAAGAACCAAGACGGUACCCGAGGAACAAGCCACGGCUAACUACGUGCCAGCAGCCGCGGUAAUACGUAGGUGGCAAGCGUUGUCCGGAAUUACUGGGUGUAAAGGGCGCGUAGGCGGGAAGGCAAGUCAGAAGUGAAAUCCCGGGGCUCAACCCCGGAACUGCUUCUGAAACUGUUUUUCUUGAGUGUCGGAGAGGAAAGUGGAAUUCCCAGUGUAGCGGUGAAAUGCGUAGAGAUUGGGAGGAACACCAGUGGCGAAGGCGGCUUUCUGGACGAUAACUGACGCUGAGGCGCGAAAGCGUGGGGAGCAAACAGGAUUAGAUACCCGUGUAGUC
This 440-nucleotide ribosomal RNA is filed under the name uncultured bacterium. RNAcentral describes it as "partial 16S ribosomal RNA". It matches the Rfam family "Bacterial small subunit ribosomal RNA", at positions 339 to 795 of the family's 1533-position model. The record is from RNAcentral.